UCGAGGAAGGAUCUCUGGGCGUUACUUAAUAAAUCUGCUGCAACAAUAUGACUACAUAUGUGUUAGUGAUGUGUACUCUUCUAAUGCUGCAAGACACUGAUGAUGCUAAUCUUUGAUAGUACUAGAUCUUCUCUCUAUUCUUGCAUUUUUGUAGCCAGUUCAAAGAUAUAGCCACAUUCCUUUGAUACUGAUGCAUACUUAGCAUAGUUCUGAUGUCUACUCAUCGUUGCUUUGCUCUUCCUUUUUCUCUUGAUAUGAUUGUUGCGACCAGAUGAUGGAGCCCAGGAGAUGGCUGAUCUCACCAACAACUACUACCCCCAAUGGAGCCUACUACUACGUGGAGGACGCUGACGACCAUGAGUAGACCUUGAGUAGUUAGGAGGUAUCCAGACAGGAGGCGUCGCCUCUUUGAUCCAUGUUAUGUUUGUGCUAGCCUUCUUAAGGCAAAACUUGUUUUCUAUGUCUGUACUCAGAUAUUAUUUGCUUCUGCCGACUCAUUUGUAUCCGAGCCCUCGAGGCCCGUGUCUUGUAAUAUGACGCUUCUAUGACUUUAAUUUGUGUCUAGAGUUGUG
RNAcentral lists this long non-coding RNA (572 nucleotides) under Hordeum vulgare. RNAcentral's name for it is "long non-coding RNA (HVUL_LNC013419)". The record is from RNAcentral. Lineage: Eukaryota; Viridiplantae; Streptophyta; Magnoliopsida; Poales; Poaceae.